Molecule: transfer RNA, 77 nt
Filed under: Pseudomonadales bacterium
Lineage: Bacteria; Pseudomonadati; Pseudomonadota; Gammaproteobacteria; Pseudomonadales
Description: tRNA-Val
Source: RNAcentral
GGGUCUGUAGCUCAGUUGGUUAGAGUGCCGUCUCGACAAGGCGGAUGUCCGCAGUUCAAGUCUGCGCAGACCCACCA